UAGUCCACGCCGUAAACGAUGUGUGCUAGCUGUCGGGCCUUAAAGGUUCGGUGGCGGAGCGAAAGUUUUAAGCACACCGCCUGGGGAGUACGGCCGCAAGGUUAAAACUCAAAGGAAUUGACGGGGACCCGCACAAGCGGUGGAGCAUGUUCUUUAAUUCGAAGCAACGCGAAGAACCUUACCUACACUUAACUAUCCUCUUGGGACUUUCAGAGAUGAUUGUCUUCGGUUCGGCCGGGGAGUGAAUAAGUGCUGCAUGGCUGUCGUCAGCUCGUGUCGUGAGAUGUUGGGUUAAGUCCCGCAACGAGCGCAACCCUUAUUGUUAGUUGCCAGCAUUUAGUUGGGCACUCUAAUGAGACUGCCGGUGAUAAGCCGGAGGAAGGCGGGGACGACGUCAAGUCAUCAUGGCCCUUACGUGUAGGGGCUAGAAACGUGCUACAAUGGCAGUGACAAUGGGGCAGGCUACCUCGCGAGAGGGAUGGCUAAUCUCCAAAAACUGUCUCAGUUCGGGAUU
Molecule: ribosomal RNA, 514 nt
Filed under: uncultured bacterium
Lineage: Bacteria
Description: bacterial SSU rRNA
Rfam family: Bacterial small subunit ribosomal RNA
Source: RNAcentral